This 368-nucleotide ribosomal RNA is filed under the name uncultured soil bacterium. RNAcentral's name for it is "bacterial SSU rRNA". It matches the Rfam family "Bacterial small subunit ribosomal RNA", at positions 26 to 420 of the family's 1533-position model. The record is from RNAcentral.
AGAACGAACGCUGGCGGCAUGCCUAAUACAUGCAAGUCGAACGAACUCUUCGGAGUUAGUGGCGCACGGGUGCGUAACGCGUGGGAAUCUGCCCUUGGGUUCGGAAUAACAGUUGGAAACGACUGCUAAUACCGGAUGAUGACGAAAGUCCAAAGAUUUAUCGCCCAGGGACGAGCCCGCGUAGGAUUAGCUAGUUGGUGAGGUAAAGGCUCACCAAGGCGACGAUCCUUAGCUGGUCUGAGAGGAUGAUCAGCCACACUGGGACUGAGACACGGCCCAGACUCCUACGGGAGGCAGCAGUAGGGAAUAGUUGGACAAUGGGCGAAAGCCUGAUCCAGCAAUGCCGCGUGAGUGAUGGAAGGUCCUUA